RNAcentral lists this ribosomal RNA (719 nucleotides) under uncultured bacterium. RNAcentral's name for it is "bacterial SSU rRNA". It matches the Rfam family "Bacterial small subunit ribosomal RNA", at positions 648 to 1363 of the family's 1533-position model. The record is from RNAcentral.
UCGGUAGGGGAGAAAGGAAUUCCCUGUGUAACGGUGGAAUAUGUUGAUAUCUAGAAGAACACCAAUGGGGAAGGCAGGUCUUCUGGGCCGUUUCUGCCGCUGAGGAGCGAAAGCGUGGGGAGCGAACAGGAUUAGAUACCCUGGUAGUCCACGCCGUAAACGGUGGAUGCUGGAUGUGGGGCCCGCUCCACGGGUUCCGUGUCGGAGCUAACGCGUUAAGCAUCCCGCCUGGGGAGUACGGCCGCAAGGCUAAAACUCAAAGAAAAAGACGGGGGCCCGCACAAGCGGCGGAGCAUGCGGAUUAAUUCGAUGCAACGCGAAGAACCUUACCUGGGCUUGACAUGUUCCCGACAGCCGUAGAGAUAUGGCCUCCCUUCGGGGCGGGUUCACAGGUGGUGCAUGGUCGUCGUCAGCUCGUGUCGUGAGAUGUUGGGUUAAGUCCCGCAACGAGCGCAACCCUCGCCCUGUGUUGCCAGCACGUCAUGGUGGGAACUCACGGGGGACCGCCGGGGUCAACUCGGAGGAGGGUGGGGAUGACGUCAGAUCAUCAUGCCCCUUACGCCCAGGGCUUCACGCAUGCUACAAUGGCCGGUACAACGGGAUGCGACACGGCGACGUGGAGCGGAUCCCUGAAAACCGGUCUCAGUUCGGAUUGGAGUCUGCAACCCGACUCCAUGAAGGCGGAGUCGCUAGUAAUCGCGGAUCAGCAACGCCGCGGC